This is a long non-coding RNA of Oreochromis aureus, 487 nucleotides long. The record is from Ensembl. Lineage: Eukaryota; Metazoa; Chordata; Actinopteri; Cichliformes; Cichlidae.
UGAUGCUGAACUGAUAGCUGCAUCCCAGUCUGUGGAAGAUUCACUGAAGUCCCAACACUCCUUGUCUGCAAGUCAACCUUUAAAGCAACGGCUGACAAGCAGAGGUGUUUCCUCCUCCCAGACGUCUGGAACAUAGGAGAACUCAGCUCCCCUGUCCAAGGAGUUUGAGAACACUGUACAGUCACCACAUCAAAAUAAAUCUACUGUGCAGCCCAAACAUCGUGAGUCCACAGAGGCUGCCAUACAGUCCAAAAAACUUGACACUGUUGGAUUCACUGAGUCAUCUGCAUCCCAGGGUCAUGAUCAUACAACACAAUUACUGUUGAGUCAUUCACCUGUGGAGCUAGAGGGAUGGGUGCGUCCCUGGGAAAAUCCUAAUGGUAUCCCAUCUGCUGACAUUUCCUGGCUUAAAGAGGACACUGAAAGAGGACUGUUUACCCCUGUUCAGACAUACAAGGAUGUUACUGGUGUGUUGAAGAGGCGACGG